This is a non-coding RNA of Ceratotherium simum simum (southern white rhinoceros), 122 nucleotides long. The record is from RefSeq and is a predicted model, not a curated record. NCBI's taxonomy places the organism in Eukaryota, Metazoa, Chordata, Mammalia, Perissodactyla, Rhinocerotidae.
CACAUAUGAGUGAAAUUAUAUGGUAUUUGUCUCUCUCUGUCUGACUUAUUUCGCUUAGCAUAAUACCCGCAAAGUCCCUCCAUGUUGUCGCAAAAGGCGCGAUUUUUUUCUUUUUUUAAAAG